CGGAUCAAUAUGCAUAUAUUGACUCAUGGCUAGGGUUAGCUCAAGACCCUCCUACUUGGACAAGGUUCUGUAUCCAGAAGGGAAAGGGAAAAAUAUUAAUGGCACAAAAAUUGACUGAUGAUAAAAAGGGAAAUUCUACAGGAUUUGGACGGGGAUAACCUGACCCCUCCCCCAUACUGGAUAAUGACACGCCUGCCUCCCAGUGCUCCACCAGGACCGGAGGCCGCCUUACUGCCCAAUCCAGGGCCAGGUGAAGCUCUUGCAGCAGCCACUGCUCUUCUACCAGCUCUCUCGGAAUCUGUAGAGCCGCCGUUUCAGCAGGCUCCAAUGCCAGCAAUGGAGACCUCUGGUCAAUGCCCCCAGAUUCCACCUCAGCUGGACCUCCUAGAUUGUAUCCACCUGUCCCGUUAA
Molecule: long non-coding RNA, 411 nt
Filed under: Bos indicus x Bos taurus (hybrid cattle)
Lineage: Eukaryota; Metazoa; Chordata; Mammalia; Artiodactyla; Bovidae
Description: lncRNA (ENSBIXG00005022172.1)
Source: RNAcentral